AAACUAAUUUAAAAUAAAAGAAAAUAAAAUAAAAAUUAAAGUUUAUUAAAUCCUAAACUACUUUAAAAGAAGAGAAAAAAAAAAUGCCUAACAAAAAUAAAUGGAAUCAGCGUGGACAAUUCAAUUUAAGGAAAACACAUCACCACUUGAAAUUAGAAAACAUAUUUAAAUGCAUAUUGUGGUAUCUACCAAACACAUCCAUCACGGGAAUCAACAUGAUAAAAGCAUAUGGGCAGUGAAAGAAAAUAAAUGACUAAGGUGCUCCCUAAAUGCAUUAUAAUAAAAAUGAGUAACCUGCUUCAUUUUCAAUGCUAAAAGAAAGAUGUGUAAUGCUUAAAAUUAAAUUAGUAUGUGCUUUGCUUCAAAUUUAAAUUACCGCAUAUCUAAUCUAAAAUCUGAAACCCAAAAUCAAUGACCGGAUCAAUACUCUAUAAUUCUCCAAUGCAGACCGUAACUAGGCUCCACUAAAUGAUGUUGAAUCUCAAAAUUGAACCAGCGUGCACGUGAACGUGCUACUAUCUUCAACUCCUAAUGCAUCAGCAUGUGUGCCCUUCAUAAUCAAUCACNNUUUCUUCCUAACUAGCUGGACANCGCACCAUUUCUAAUCACCAUUUCAUCAAUUUCAUAAAGGCAAAAUGAAGAGGCUAGAUGUAGCGUUUUUCUCCCAGCGAGCUUCCCAUUCCAGCACCGUCUCGAUGGUUCAAAGCAAAAGAAAAAUGUAGAAGAUUCAAAGAUUCAAAAAGGAAGAGGCGGCUGGAAGCAUUCUCAAAACAGAGAUAAUAAAGAAGACGUUCCAUGUGAAAGUCAUGCUAAAACCGAGUGGUGGUUGGCUACACUUUUUCGUUCAUCCAAAAUCCAAAUACAUAGACAUGGUUCAAGGAAAAGAAUGCAAUGAGAAUGAAAUUUUUCUCCAGCCGAGAGAGUCCAGAGAGUGUGACGGCUGCCUCUCUUUUCCUAGGAUCAUGUGUCCUCAAAUUGGGGUAGGGUCC
RNAcentral lists this long non-coding RNA (989 nucleotides) under Vigna radiata. Its description in RNAcentral is "long non-coding RNA (VRAD_LNC008025)". Lineage: Eukaryota; Viridiplantae; Streptophyta; Magnoliopsida; Fabales; Fabaceae. The record is from RNAcentral.